RNAcentral lists this long non-coding RNA (476 nucleotides) under Oryza brachyantha (malo sina). Its description in RNAcentral is "long non-coding RNA (OBRA_LNC002759)". The record is from RNAcentral. Lineage: Eukaryota; Viridiplantae; Streptophyta; Magnoliopsida; Poales; Poaceae.
UCUAUCUACCUAUUCCUUUUGCUCAUCUAUUUUAUUAUCAUCAUCUGCUUUUUGUCAAAUAUUUGUUUCUGUUUUCUCUUUCAAGGAAAAAGGAAUAUAUGUAUGUUGCAGGAGGCAGAGAGAGCUGUGGGUAGUGAAGGAGAGGAGGAGGAGUAUAUUAAAAGACAGACACUCUAACCUCCCCUCCCUCCCUUUCUCUCAAUCUCAAUUAUUUCCUUCCAGACACAGCACAGCACAAACCAGAAGAGAAGGGGGUUCGGCUCCAUCCGCGAAAAGCUGCUCCUCCGGAGGCUGAGUUGGCCCCUGCGCUUUCCGUUAUUCGCAUUUCACCCCUCGGAGUUUUACACUUGGGUACCCAUGCUCCGUAAAAACUAAUCACAAUCCAGUCCACUCCCUUCCCUCGGUCGCCGGCCAUGCCCACUCCGGUGCCCGCCGCCCGCCAGUGCCUCUCGCCGCCCGCCGUCACCGCCCCUGAC